GACGAACGCUGGCGGCGUGCUUAACACAUGCAAGUCGAACGGAAAGGCCCUGCUUUUGGGGGGUGCUCGAGUGACGAACGGGUGAGUAACACGUGAGUAACCUGCCCUUGACGUUGGGAUAACUUCAGGAAACUGGGGCUAAUACCGGAUAGGAGCUCCUGCUGCAUGGUGGGGGCUGGAAAGUUUCGGCGGUUGGGGAUGGACUCGCGGCUUAUCAGCUUGUUGGUGGGGUAGUGGCUUACCAAGGCUUGGCGGGGUAGCCGGCCUGAGCGGGUGACCGGACACGUUGGGACUGGGAUACGGCCCGGACUACUCCGGGACGCAGCGGUGGAGAGGAUUGCAUAAUGGGCUGAAGCCUGAUGUAGCAACGCCGCGUGGGGGAUAACGGACUGCGGGUUGUAAACCGCUUUCGCCUGUGACGAAGCGUGAGUGACGGUACUGGGUAAAGAAGCUCCGGCUAACUACGUG
This 468-nucleotide ribosomal RNA is filed under the name uncultured bacterium. RNAcentral describes it as "partial 16S ribosomal RNA". It matches the Rfam family "Bacterial small subunit ribosomal RNA", at positions 28 to 507 of the family's 1533-position model. The record is from RNAcentral.